ACACACCAAUUUGGGUGUUAGAAUAACCGCAUACGAUGUAUGCCUUAACGAAAACAUGACACCAAAACUGUGUCAAUCCGACUCUAGUAGGAAAAAUGAACGAGUUCAAGGUCAAAAGAUCUGAACCGUUGAUUUCAUCAACAAUCAAGGAAAAGAGGUAGACAUCACAGCCUUACCCAAAGAUCUGAAGAAACAACACCAACAAUGCAGUCGCCUAAACGACUGCUACCAAACCCUGGGCUACACCCUAGUAGCCCCACAGAAGUCGCGACCGUAACUGGUCUAAGCACCGUCUCCGUAGAGACACUCGCAACAGCUCUCGUGUCCUAAGUAGAGAGAGUGGCCUGGGCGUCGGCAGUCAUGACACUCGCCUAGGCCCAGAGAUCACUGGCCUUCCAAGGCCCCACCUGACAGGAAUGGCUACACUUGGGGGACGUCGCCCCACCACUCGAUGUCCGAAAAAGUACAUCGCCACUACACCCGACUUAGCCACCAGCUUGUGCGAACCGUAACACAUACAGGAACCAUACGCUUCGAGUUUAACAAACUCGAAUGCACACCGGGACACAAGUCCAAAUCCCGCACUCACGUGCCUAUAUACCGUAGGUCUUCCUAUAGGUCAACCUAGCCAAUGGUUCAGUUCAUUUGGUUCAGUCCAUUUACUUUUCAAAACAACCUGUGAAUGGUGUUGUGGUUGUAACCUUUGCUCUGAUACCAUUUUAAUCUGUCACGCC
Molecule: long non-coding RNA, 734 nt
Filed under: Ananas comosus (pineapple)
Lineage: Eukaryota; Viridiplantae; Streptophyta; Magnoliopsida; Poales; Bromeliaceae
Description: long non-coding RNA (ACOM_LNC040996)
Source: RNAcentral